AGAAUAUAAGAACCAGUCUCUUAACUUUUAACUAAAAAAGAUAAGAACCGGCUUUUAAAUAAAAGUUUUAAGAGCCGGUUUUUAGCUUUUUUAAUUAAAAGUUAAGAGACGGGUUCUUACAUUCC
Molecule: non-coding RNA, 125 nt
Organism: Brassica napus (rape)
Lineage: Eukaryota; Viridiplantae; Streptophyta; Magnoliopsida; Brassicales; Brassicaceae
Source: Rfam